This 76-nucleotide transfer RNA is filed under the name Rhodospirillaceae bacterium. Its description in RNAcentral is "tRNA-Asn". It matches the Rfam family "tRNA". From Rfam's summary of the family: Transfer RNA (tRNA) molecules are approximately 80 nucleotides in length. Their secondary structure includes four short double-helical elements and three loops (D, anti-codon, and T loops). Further hydrogen bonds mediate the characteristic L-shaped molecular structure. tRNAs have two regions of fundamental functional importance: the anti-codon, which is responsible for specific mRNA codon recognition, and the 3' end, to which the tRNAs corresponding amino acid is attached (by aminoacyl-tRNA synthetases). tRNAs cope with the degeneracy of the genetic code in two manners: having more than one tRNA (with a specific anti-codon) for a particular amino acid; and 'wobble' base-pairing, i.e. permitting non-standard base-pairing at the 3rd anti-codon position. Lineage: Bacteria; Pseudomonadati; Pseudomonadota; Alphaproteobacteria; Rhodospirillales; Rhodospirillaceae. RNAcentral also lists the same sequence under 2 other names. The record is from RNAcentral.
UCCGGCAUAGCUCAGUUGGUAGAGCAGCUGACUGUUAAUCAGCUUGUCGCAGGUUCGAGUCCUGCUGCCGGAGCCA